Molecule: ribosomal RNA, 207 nt
Filed under: uncultured Bacteroidota bacterium
Lineage: Bacteria; Pseudomonadati; Bacteroidota
Description: uncultured Bacteroidetes bacterium partial 16S ribosomal RNA
Rfam family: Bacterial small subunit ribosomal RNA
Source: RNAcentral
UGCGUAGGCGGACUAUUAAGUCAGUGGUGAAAUCCUGCAGCUUAACUGCAGAACUGCCAUUGAUACUGAUAGCCUUGAGUUUGGUUAAGGUAGGCGGAAUGUGUAAUGUAGCGGUGAAAUGCUUAGAUAUUACACAGAACACCAAUUGCGUAGGCAGCUUACUGAGCCGACACUGACGCUGAGGCACGAAAGCGUGGGGAUCGAACA